This is a long non-coding RNA of Priapulus caudatus, 103 nucleotides long. RefSeq lists it as uncharacterized. The record is from RefSeq and is a predicted model, not a curated record. Lineage: Eukaryota; Metazoa; Priapulida; Priapulimorpha; Priapulimorphida; Priapulidae. The transcript has 3 exons.
GUAGGCGAGGUAUGAGUCGCUUGCUGCGUCCGACUGUCGUGGUUAGACGUCCGUAAUCAGCGCCUGUAAACUUUAUACGUACGUGUUUCUCCUUCUAAGCUAA